RNAcentral lists this transfer RNA (89 nucleotides) under Candidatus Tanganyikabacteria bacterium. RNAcentral describes it as "tRNA-Ser". It matches the Rfam family "tRNA". Rfam says of the family: Transfer RNA (tRNA) molecules are approximately 80 nucleotides in length. Their secondary structure includes four short double-helical elements and three loops (D, anti-codon, and T loops). Lineage: Bacteria; Bacillati; Candidatus Sericytochromatia. The record is from RNAcentral.
GGAGAGGUGGCCGAGCGGCUUAAGGCACCGGUUUGCUAAACCGACGUAGGUUUUCGAGCCUACCGGGGGUUCGAAUCCCCCCCUCUCCG